This 253-nucleotide ribosomal RNA is filed under the name uncultured bacterium. Its description in RNAcentral is "partial 16S ribosomal RNA". It matches the Rfam family "Bacterial small subunit ribosomal RNA", at positions 524 to 776 of the family's 1533-position model. The record is from RNAcentral.
UACGAAGGGGGCGAGCGUUGUUCGGAAUCACUGGGCGUAAAGGGCGCGUAGGCGGCCCUCUUAGUCGCGUGUGAAAGCCCCGGGCUCAACCUGGGAACGGCGCGCGAAACGGGAGGGCUGGAGUUCGGGAGAGGAGAGUGGAAUUCCCAGUGUAGAGGUGAAAUUCGUAGAUAUUGGGAAGAACACCGAUGGCGAAGGCAGGUCUCUGGGCCACUACUGACGCUGAGAAGCGAAAGCAUGGGGAGCGAACAGG